CCAUAGAUGAGGAUCCGAUGAGGGGUAGCCUCUGAUGUCACUGCCUUGUUGGACUUGACCACGGAAGUGGUCUUGGUGCGGUACUGUUGGAUAACACCCACAUCCCCACCAUGUCCCAGAAAACAGUAAGCCUUUUAGAUAUUAGAAGUCAACAGUCUUCUGCUCUCUGGACUGUUCAUCUCCACCUCCCUUAACUCAUCCUCAAGACUCGAAGCCCUUACUCCAAGUCAUCGAUGUUCUUCCAAACACUAGAACUACAGCCAACCCUCUGGGUGUGAACUGACCAGGGGGGAGGGCAGAGACUCGCAUCUCCCUUGUGUCAGAUGGUAGACGUUUCUGUGCACAACCCAAGAUGGCAUUAUUGCUUGGGGCUUUGGGGCCAGACUUUCCAGUUUGGUUCAAUUUCAUUCAAUAAACAUUCACGAAGUGUCUAA
This is a long non-coding RNA of Monodelphis domestica (gray short-tailed opossum), 434 nucleotides long. RefSeq lists it as uncharacterized. The record is from RefSeq and is a predicted model, not a curated record. Lineage: Eukaryota; Metazoa; Chordata; Mammalia; Didelphimorphia; Didelphidae.